RNAcentral lists this long non-coding RNA (866 nucleotides) under Nicotiana benthamiana. RNAcentral's name for it is "long non-coding RNA (NBEN_LNC034521)". The record is from RNAcentral. Lineage: Eukaryota; Viridiplantae; Streptophyta; Magnoliopsida; Solanales; Solanaceae.
GCUUUUCAGAUAGUAUUUAACAAAAUCAUGACAAAACAUGAACACGAGACACAAAAUCACGAAUAACGGAAAUAUGGAGAAGAAAUGAACCUGAAAUUUAUUCAAACUUGAAAUGAAUCAACAAUUACAGUCGGACAUCACUGCGGCAUCAGACAUAAUCGACACGAAAUUCAUUUGUGUGGAAAUAAGAAAAUUAAUGCGGACAGGACUCAAGUGGCAUCUCAACUCGAUUUCAAAACUCAAACCAUCUCCAUGUUUCAGAUCAAAAUCGGAACUCAAAGAAAGAAUAAUAAACUAAUUUCUGUCCAAAGCUUCUGUUGUUCAUUUGCAAAAGGAAUCAUUUGCUUCUUUAUUUCGUCCUCAGUUAUUAAGAGGAAUCUGCACUGCUCAAUCUCCAAGUGUGUAUUUGGUGAGGACGGUGACUGGUUGAUUUUGUUGAUGGCGUUGUUUGGCUCCUAUGUCUCUUGUGUCUGGUGUUAUGGUGUUCAGUGACUACUGAGGAAGGAGAAGAGACGUGAGGAUUUUCGUUUUAUGGUGUUCAGCAUUGUUGUGUUCUCUCAUGACUACUGAUUUAUUUUUGAAUAUUACAUGAAGCGGAGCUCCCUCUCCAUAUCCAGGCGUACGUUCGAGCUUCAUAAAGAAGAAGCAGUGGCCAAGGUGGACUGCUAGGGUUAGACGGAGAAGAUGAUCAAGAAGGGAGGGGGGUUUUCCAAAAACUGCGCAGCUGCGCUGAAGGACUUUCCGGCGUGAAUUCCUCCGUCUCUAUUAUCUCGUGUGCAUUGUAUUGUAUAGGCGUGUAUCUUCAAGAGAAGCCCCCAGCCGCCAUCCCUUCUUCGUGUCUCUCUACGUACUUCUCUGUAGUGUAU